This 495-nucleotide ribosomal RNA is filed under the name Fusarium oxysporum. RNAcentral's name for it is "eukaryotic LSU rRNA". The stretch from base 131 to 284 matches the Rfam family "5.8S ribosomal RNA". Lineage: Eukaryota; Fungi; Ascomycota; Sordariomycetes; Hypocreales; Nectriaceae. The record is from RNAcentral.
CAACCCCUGUGACAUACCACUUGUUGCCUCGGCGGAUCAGCCCGCUCCCGGUAAAACGGGACGGCCCGCCAGAGGACCCCUAAACUCUGUUUCUAUAUGUAACUUCUGAGUAAAACCAUAAAUAAAUCAAAACUUUCAACAACGGAUCUCUUGGUUCUGGCAUCGAUGAAGAACGCAGCAAAAUGCGAUAAGUAAUGUGAAUUGCAGAAUUCAGUGAAUCAUCGAAUCUUUGAACGCACAUUGCGCCCGCCAGUAUUCUGGCGGGCAUGCCUGUUCGAGCGUCAUUUCAACCCUCAAGCACAGCUUGUGUUGGGACUCGCGUUAAUUCGCGUUCCCCAAAUUGAUUGGCGGUCACGUCGAGCUUCCAUAGCGUAGUAGUAAAACCCUCGUUACUGGUAAUCGUCGCGGCCACGCCGUUAAACCCCAACUUCUGAAUGUUGACCUCGGAUCAGGUAGGAAUACCCGCUGAACUUAAGCAUAUCAAUAAGCGGAGGA